CCUACGGGAGGCAGCAGUGAGGAAUAUUGGUCAAUGGACGAGAGUCUGAACCAGCCAAGUAGCGUGAAGGAUGACUGCCCUAUGGGUUGUAAACUUCUUUUAUAUGGGAAUAAAAUGUUCCACGUGUGGGAUUUUGUAUGUACCAUAUGAAUAAGGAUCGGCUAACUCCGUGCCAGCAGCCGCGGUAAUACGGCGGAUCCGAGCGUUAUCCGGAUUUAUUGGGUUUAGAGGGAGCGUAGGUGGAUUGUUAAGUCAGUUGUGAAAGUUUGCGGCUCAACCGUAAAAUUGCAGUUGAAACUGGCAGUCUUGAGUACAGUAGAGGUGGGCGGAAUUCGUGGUGUAGCGGUGAAAUGCUUAGAUAUCACGAAGAACUCCGAUUGCGAAGGCAGUUCACUGGACUGCAACUGACACUGAGGCUCGAAAGUGUGGGUAUCAAACAGGAUUAGAUACCCCUGUAGUC
Molecule: ribosomal RNA, 460 nt
Filed under: uncultured bacterium
Lineage: Bacteria
Description: partial 16S ribosomal RNA
Rfam family: Bacterial small subunit ribosomal RNA
Source: RNAcentral